CGGGUGAGUAACACGUAUGCAACCUGCCUGCCACAGCCGGAUAAUCGGGAGAAAUUCCGUCUAAUACGGCAUAAUGCAUCGACGGGACAUCCUGUUGGUGCCAAAGGUUAAUUCCGGUGGCGGAUGGGCAUGCGUCGCAUUAGUUAGUUGGCGGUGUAACGGACCACCAGGACGACGAUGCGUAGGGGUUCUGAGAGGAAGGUCCCCCACACUGGUACUGAGACACGGACCAGACUCCUACGGGAGGCAGCAG
Molecule: ribosomal RNA, 253 nt
Filed under: uncultured bacterium
Lineage: Bacteria
Description: partial 16S ribosomal RNA
Rfam family: Bacterial small subunit ribosomal RNA
Source: RNAcentral